RNAcentral lists this ribosomal RNA (460 nucleotides) under uncultured bacterium. RNAcentral's name for it is "partial 16S ribosomal RNA". It matches the Rfam family "Bacterial small subunit ribosomal RNA", at positions 338 to 795 of the family's 1533-position model. The record is from RNAcentral.
CCUACGGGUGGCAGCAGUGAGGAAUAUUGGUCAAUGGGCGAGAGCCUGAACCAGCCAAGUCGCGUGAAGGAUGAAGGAUCUAUGGUUUGUAAACUUCUUUUAUAUGGGAAUAAAGUGAGGAACGUGUUCCUUUUUGUAUGUACCAUAUGAAUAAGCAUUGGCUAACUCCGUGCCAGCCGCCGCGGUACUACGGAGGAUGCGAGCGUUUUCCGGAUUUCUUGGGGUUAAAGGGUGCGUAGGUGGUUAUGUAAGUUAGCGGUGAAAGUUUGUGGCUCAACCAUAAAAUUGCCGUUGAAACUGGUUGACUUGAGUAUAUUAGAGGUAGGCGGAAUGCGUGGUGUAGCGGUGAAAUGCAUAGAUAUCACGCAGAACUCCGAUUGCGAAGGCAGCUUACUAAACUAUAACUGACGCUGAAGCACGAAAGCGUGGGGAUCAAACAGGAUUAGAUACCCGGGUAGUC